RNAcentral lists this ribosomal RNA (1378 nucleotides) under Cherax quinquecarinatus. RNAcentral describes it as "l-rRNA". The stretch from base 650 to 1378 matches the Rfam family "Archaeal large subunit ribosomal RNA", at positions 1423 to 2846 of the family's 2987-position model. The record is from RNAcentral. Lineage: Eukaryota; Metazoa; Arthropoda; Malacostraca; Decapoda; Parastacidae.
GUUUAUCGCAAGGAGCGAUUUGUUUUGAAACUCUAAGGAGAGUCGCUUGAAUAGAAGUAUAAAAAAAGUAUUUUGUGAGUUUAAGUAUGUAAAUAGAAACAGAGUUUUGGCGAUAGGGUAGAGUACUGUGAAGGAGAGUUGAAAUAUAUUUAAAAGGUAUUAAUGGUGAAGUAUAAAUAGAAUUUAGUACCUUGUGUAUUAGGGAUAUUUUAUAUUAAGUAGUUAUAUUUAUUUUUCCCGAAAUAAGGAUAGCUAGGUUGAGGGAUAAGUUUUUGUGUUAAAAAGAUUUGAAACUUCAUCUUAGUAGUGAAAUGUUAAUCGGGCUUUAAGAUAUCUGGUUUUUUUUGAAAAAAAUUUAAUUUUUUCCUUACAUUAGAGAAUGGUAAGGCAUAGGGGUAGGGGGGUAAAGCUCCUUAUCUGACAAUUAGUACUAUAAGGAUAUAAGAAAUUGGUGUAAAACUGGGCUUAAGGGUAGCUAUGUUUUCAAAGGGUUAUACCUGGGACAUAUUUACGGUGAAUAUUUAUAUAUUUUUUGGGAAGGUAAAAAAGAGUUUUUUAAGAUUUAAUUUAAAAAUUUAAAAUGAAUAUAUUAGUAUAUAAAGUAUCUUGUAAGUUAUCUAUAUUAAAUAGAUUAAUAAAUUUAUUAGAGCGUUUGAUAGGACAAAGGAAUUCGGCAAACGGAUAUUUCCGCCUGUUUAUCAAAAACAUGUCUGUAUGAUAGUUUUAUAGAGUCUAGCCUGCCCAUUGGGAACUGAAAGGCCGCGGUAUUAUGACCGUGCGAAGGUAGCAUAAUCAUUAGUCUUUUAAUUGGAGGCUGGAAUGAAUGGUUGGACGAGAAAUAAACUGUCUUUGUCCUAAAAAUUGAAUUUAACUUUUAAGUGAGAGGGCUUAAAUGUAUUAAAGGGACGAUAAGACCCUGUAAAGUUUAUACAUUAAGUUAAUUAAAAAUAAUUAAGGAGAUUAAAAUUUAUUAUUGGGUAGAUGUUUAGUUGGGGCGACUAGGAUAUAAUUUAAUUAUAACUGUCUUAGAUUAAGGUCAAAGAUAUUUGAGUUUGUGAUCCUUUCUUAGGAUUCAAGAACAAGUUACUUCAGGGAUAACAGCGUAAUUUUUUUUGAGAGUUCUUAUCGACAAAAGAGUUUGCGACCUCGAUGUUGAAUUAAAAGUUUCUCUGAAGUGUAGCAAUUUCAGGAGAAGGUCUGUUCGACCUUUAAAUUUUUACAUGAUUUGAGUUCAGACCGGCGAGAGCCAGGUUGGUUUCUAUCUUUUAAGAAAUAUAGAAUUAUUUUAGUACGAAAGGAUCAAAUAGUUGAAAUAGUUUUAGUUAAGUAAUUAAAAAAUUAGCUUUCGGCUGAGGACGAGUAUUCAGGGAAAAAAGCA